This 819-nucleotide ribosomal RNA is filed under the name uncultured bacterium. RNAcentral describes it as "bacterial SSU rRNA". It matches the Rfam family "Bacterial small subunit ribosomal RNA", at positions 60 to 871 of the family's 1533-position model. The record is from RNAcentral.
AGUCGAGGGGCAGCAUGAUUGAAGCUUGCUUCAAUUGAUGGCGACCGGCGCACGGGUGAGUAACGCGUAUCCAACCUUCCGUACACUCAGGGAUAGCCUUUCGAAAGAAAGAUUAAUACCUGAUGGUAUGAUGAGAUUGCAUGAUAGCAUCAUUAAAGAUUUAUCGGUGUACGAUGGGGAUGCGUUCCAUUAGGUAGUAGGCGGGGUAAUGGCCCACCUAGCCGACGAUGGAUAGGGGUUCUGAGAGGAAGGUCCCCCACAUUGGAACUGAGACACGGUCCAAACUCCUACGGGAGGCAGCAGUGAGGAAUAUUGGUCAAUGGACGAGAGUCUGAACCAGCCAAGUAGCGUGAAGGAUGAAGGUCCUACGGAUUGUAAACUUCUUUUAUAAGGGAAUAAAACCUCCCACGUGUGGGAGCUUGUAUGUACCUUAUGAAUAAGCAUCGGCUAACUCCGUGCCAGCAGCCGCGGUAAUACGGAGGAUGCGAGCGUUAUCCGGAUUUAUUGGGUUUAAAGGGAGCGCAGACGGGUCGUUAAGUCAGCUGUGAAAGUUUGGGGCUCAACCUUAAAAUUGCAGUUGAUACUGGCGUCCUUGAGUGCGGUUGAGGUGUGCGGAAUUCGUGGUGUAGCGGUGAAAUGCUUAGAUAUCACGAAGAACUCCGACUGCGAAGGCAGCACACUAAGCCGUAACUGACGUUCAUGCUCGAAAGUGUGGGUAUCAAACAGGAUUAGAUACCCUGGUAGUCCACACGGUAAACGAUGGAUACUCGCUGUUGGCGAUAUACAGUCAGCGGCUUAGCGAAAGCGUUAAGUAUCCCA